Molecule: ribosomal RNA, 164 nt
Filed under: uncultured bacterium
Lineage: Bacteria
Description: partial 16S rRNA
Rfam family: Bacterial small subunit ribosomal RNA
Source: RNAcentral
UAGGGAAUCUUCGGCAAUGGACGAAAGUCUGACCGAGCGACGCCGCGUGAGUGAAGAAGGUUUUCGGAUCGUAAACUCUGUUGGUAGAGAAGAACGUUGGUGAGAGUGGAAAGCUCAUCAAGUGACGGUAACUACCCAGAAAGGGACGGCUAACUACGUGCCAG